This is an RNA transcript of Actinia tenebrosa (Australian red waratah sea anemone), 1665 nucleotides long. It is a transcript of the gene named copper homeostasis protein cutC homolog, with no coding region annotated. The record is from RefSeq and is a predicted model, not a curated record. Lineage: Eukaryota; Metazoa; Cnidaria; Anthozoa; Actiniaria; Actiniidae.
GUGUUUUCUGAUAAUAUUUCAGUUUUUAGCGCCAAAGAUAUCCAUGAAGAUGGUGUUAAUGGAGGUUUGCGUAGAUUCUGUUGAAUCUGCCAUGAAUGCAGAAAAGGGUGGUGCCCAAAGACUGGAGUUGUGUGGUAAUUUGAUGGAAGGUGGUACCACUCCCACCCCAGGAAUGCUUGCAGUUAUUAAACAAAAUGUUUCAAUACCAGUGUUUGUCAUGAUAAGACCCAGGGGAGGAGACUAUCUUUACUCACAGCAAGAGUUCAAUGUGAUGAAAGAGGAUUUAAAAUGCUUGAAAAAACAUGGAGCUGAUGGAAUUGUCUUUGGAAUCCUCAAUGAAAAAGGUCAAAUUGAUGUUUCAAGAAAUAAAGAAUUACUAGAACUAUCAAGACCUCUUCCUGUUACUUUCCAUAGAGCUUUUGACAUGGUGAAGGAUCCAAAGGAAAGCCUUGAAGAUCUGAUACACAUUGGAUUUGAAAGGGUUUUAACAAGUGGAUUAGAUUCGACAGUUUUAGAUGGGCUGCCAGUCAUUAAAGAACUAAAUACGCAGGCAAAUAAAAGAAUAACGAUUGUACCAGGAGGUGGAAUAACAGAACGUAACUUAGAGCGUAUCCUACAGGGAACUGGUGUAGAGGAGUUUCAUUGUUCUGCACGUGAAUCGUCUACAUCACUCAUGGAGUACAGAAAUAGUCACGUGUUUAUGGGUGGAGCUCUUCGACCAUCUGAAUUCCAAAUCAAAACUACGAGUUGCGAUAGAGUGAAGGCAAUCAUUAAAAUAGCAAAAGAUAGCUUAUGAUUAUAACAGGGCCAACGCUGAAUCAUAUCGAAGCACGACACUUUGAAGAUUUAUACCAGAAGGGUCGCCCACAAACAUAAACACAAGCCACUGAUUGGAUUAGAAAACCAAGCAAGGCUGGAGUCUACCAAACUGUGAGCUGGCUGGCUGUUGCUCGUUUUGAUGAGCAACAGACCCAUUUGCACAGAUUUCAGUGAUGACAAGCUGGGGUAGCUUUGCAUUCAAACGCUGCAACAUUGCUAAAGAUUUUCAAAACAAAAAAGGAUUGAAGUAGAAUAAUGCAAAAAGCCUGUAUUCACCUGUUCCUAAACGCUAAUCCAAUCGAUAAACUAAUUAAAAUUUUCAAAAUUAUUUUGAAUUUGCCAGGAAGGAUACCGAAAGGCGUUAGCUAGUGCUUGAAUUUAUUAAAUAUGUAAAUAUGCUCGGGAAAAAUUCCGAAUCCCCCUCUCGUUGCCGGUCAAGUGCUAAUACUGCUACUGCAAGUGCUCUUGCCACUAAAUUACUGGGAACUCAUAGGGAAGUGCAACUGGAUAAGGUUUAAAUAGUAUUUAGUCUAGUCACUUAGGACGGACUUACACUGAGAAAACCUACUUUAUUCCACACUUGGGAUAGCUGUUAAUCCCUAAGUGGCUAAUUGAACAUACUGAUGUCUAAUAUUCACAAAGUGGCUGUGAAUUAAGCGGAAAUGUUGGCGCCAAUACGCCCUCACAGCCACAACUGAGUGGGAUUUUAGUUCUCGCCGUUAUUAUUGUUCGGAAAGAAUUCUUUAUCUGCCUAACUGCGACAAAUAAACGCUGCUGGAUAUUAUUAAUCAGCUAUCACGUUGGUAAAUCUACUCCAUUAAGUAUAUAGGGAUUCAAACCAACCUU